CCAUCACGCAUAGUGCCCGAAUGUUUGAUGUUGCGUCUUCCCCUACGGCACCGCACCCUCUCUCCGACGCCAUGUCGUGCCGCGCCCGGACGUUCGAUGUCGUGCCCGCUCUGUGACGUCAUGCCGCGGUCGCCUCUUCGGUGUUGCGCCUCCUUUCCGACAGCAUGCCCAACCUUCACGCGUAGCGCCAACCCGUCCAGCAUCCCUCACCCAUUCGUUCGGCGUGAUGCCCCUUGCUCGCAUGUCCAUCGUGACCAGCGGGCUCACUGCGGGAAGCUUCAUCGUCGUUGCCUCGUGAAGCAGCAUCACCUCUUCGGGGCUCCUCCUCCCUCCAGCAUGGACACCAAACAAUAGCAGGGCAUGGACGACCUUCGACAAUGACGCGAGACACGAGCAACGAGCAACUCUGCUCCGGCAAGAUCUGUAUUGAUGCAAUUUGGAUCGACUUAGGUUGUUGACUAGAUGCUCUACUCCGU
This 476-nucleotide long non-coding RNA is filed under the name Hordeum vulgare. Its description in RNAcentral is "long non-coding RNA (HVUL_LNC012312)". The record is from RNAcentral. Lineage: Eukaryota; Viridiplantae; Streptophyta; Magnoliopsida; Poales; Poaceae.